Molecule: ribosomal RNA, 510 nt
Filed under: uncultured cf. Tomentella sp.
Lineage: Eukaryota; Fungi; Basidiomycota; Agaricomycetes; Thelephorales; Thelephoraceae
Description: eukaryotic LSU rRNA
Rfam family: 5.8S ribosomal RNA (bases 114-268)
Source: RNAcentral
CAGUAGUUCUAUGGCCUGGGGGGCCCUGUCCUCCAGCUGUGGUUCUAUGUCUUUACACACACACCGAAAUAAAGUCUAAUGGAAUGUAUGUCGCGUUUAACGCAAUGAAAUACAACUUUCAGCAACGGAUCUCUUGGCUCUCGCAUCGAUGAAGAACGCAGCGAAAUGCGAUAAGUAAUGUGAAUUGCAGAAUUCAGUGAAUCAUCGAAUCUUUGAACGCACCUUGCGCCCUUUGGCUAUUCCGAAGGGCAUGCCUGUUUGAGUAUCAUGAACAUCUCAACUCUCAUGGCUUGCCGUGAUGAGCUUGGACUUUGUGUGGUCUUGCUGGCCUGUGGUCAGCUCCUCUCAAAUGAAUUAGCCUGCCGGUGUUUGGUGGGAUCACAGGUGUGAUAACUAUCUACGCUUGUGGUUUUCCACCAGGUAACCCUCAGCAAUGGAGGUUCACCGGAGCUUAUAAAUGUCUCUCCCCAGCGAGGACAGAUUUUGACCGUUUGAUCUCAAAUCAAGGUA